GGACAAAAGCUUGGUGGUAGAACAUCAGCCUUGCAUACAGAAGGCUCCAGGUUCAAAUCCUGGGGCUAGGAAUGUCCC
Molecule: non-coding RNA, 78 nt
Organism: Podarcis lilfordi (Lilford's wall lizard)
Lineage: Eukaryota; Metazoa; Chordata; Lepidosauria; Squamata; Lacertidae
Source: the annotation of a GenBank genome assembly